RNAcentral lists this long non-coding RNA (520 nucleotides) under Homo sapiens (human). RNAcentral's name for it is "HSALNT0012305". Lineage: Eukaryota; Metazoa; Chordata; Mammalia; Primates; Hominidae. The record is from RNAcentral.
UUUACCUGCAUUAUGAGUUGGACAAAUAAAUUGUAGCUCCUCUCCGUCUUGCCAUGUUUCCUGUUUAGAACUUUCAGGCAUCCCGUGGCAUUUACAGAAGGCUCUGGGUUCACACAGGCGAAAUUCCCUCACAAUGGAUCUUUACUCUGGAAUUUUCCCGUCCCAAGGCCUGCCACUCCUGCAGCCUUAGAAGGCACUUCCUCCCUGGUCCCAUGCUCCCUGCGAAGUUCUCUACUUUCCAGGAGCGUGGCUUACAGCUUCCUCCUUUGGGCACCCAGUUCCUAAUGAAACUGAACCUUUCAGUCCUGCCUGCCUGGGCACCCUCCUCUCUUCAUCUUACUGCAGGACAAGUGUGUCCAUGAGGCCGAGUUAAUAGCGUCCAUGAAGUGAAAUGAAAUCGUUACUUCAAGCCUCAAGCCUCACCAGGGAGUUUCUUAGACUUUUCAAUCUGGCAGGUUGGCAUAACCCUGUGUAAGAGGAUUCUUCACCUAGUACAGAAUCUGCUGAUAAAGAGAACCCA